RNAcentral lists this unclassified non-coding RNA (416 nucleotides) under fungal sp. Its description in RNAcentral is "partial internal transcribed spacer region". The stretch from base 1 to 46 matches the Rfam family "Eukaryotic small subunit ribosomal RNA", at positions 1786 to 1831 of the family's 1831-position model. Lineage: Eukaryota; Fungi. The record is from RNAcentral.
AAGUCGUAACAAGGUAACCGUAGGUGAACCUGCGGUUGGAUCAUUAACAAAAACAGCAUGGGCUGCUUAAAAUUGCCCUACGCAUAAGAUACUCUAUGAGUAGCAGAGUGCUUUCUGAAUACUGGGUUCCCUCCCAAAGGGAACCCAAUUGCAGGAUUGUACUCGGCUAUUGAUAAAUCUUAUGCGUAUCCUUCGGGAAACAUUGUGUGCACUGUUUUAGUCUCUGGCGGCGGGGCAAGUAUGGGCAUACACUCCAGUAUGCACUUUCUAUGCUUGCCUGUCAGCCUGGUGUAAAAAGCCAGGGCCGUGGACAAACCGCCAAAAUAUUAAACAACUUGUAUUUUUCAACAUUGAGUCUGACAUUAAUUUAUUUUAAAUUAUACAAACAACUUUUGGCAACGGAUCUCUUGGCUCUC